This 301-nucleotide ribosomal RNA is filed under the name uncultured bacterium. RNAcentral describes it as "partial 16S ribosomal RNA". It matches the Rfam family "Bacterial small subunit ribosomal RNA", at positions 509 to 807 of the family's 1533-position model. The record is from RNAcentral.
CAGCAGCCACGGGAAUACGAAGGGUGCAAGCGUUACUCGGAAUUACUGGGCGUAAAGCGUGCGUAGGUGGUUGUUUAAGUCUGCUGUGAAAGCCCUGGGCUCAACCUGGGAAUUGCAGUGGAUACUGGGCGACUAGAGUAAGGUAGAGGAUAGUGGAAUUUCCGGUGUAGCAGUGAAAUGCGUAGAGAUCGGAAGGAGCAUCUGUGGCGAAGGCGACUAUCUGGGCCAUUACUGACACUGAGGCACGAAAGCGUGGGGAGCAAACAGGAUUAGAUACCCCCGUAGUCCCUGUCUCUUAUAC